RNAcentral lists this transfer RNA (73 nucleotides) under bacterium. RNAcentral's name for it is "tRNA-Thr". It matches the Rfam family "tRNA". From Rfam's summary of the family: Transfer RNA (tRNA) molecules are approximately 80 nucleotides in length. Their secondary structure includes four short double-helical elements and three loops (D, anti-codon, and T loops). The record is from RNAcentral. RNAcentral also lists the same sequence under 5 other names.
GCCCGGGUAGCUCAGCUGGUAGAGCAGCUCACUCGUAAUGAGCAGGUCAGCGGUUCGAUUCCGCUCUCGGGCU